RNAcentral lists this unclassified non-coding RNA (229 nucleotides) under plant metagenome. RNAcentral's name for it is "partial contains small subunit ribosomal RNA, internal transcribed spacer 1, and 5.8S ribosomal RNA". The record is from RNAcentral.
UCUCCGUAGGUGAACCUGCGGAGGGAUCAUUACAGGGUUCAUGCCCUAACGGGUAGAUCUCCCACCCUAUGUUAUCAUAACUUUGUUGCUUUGGCGGGCCGUCAGGCCUCGGCUUGGCUACCGGCUCUCGCUGGUAAGCGCCCGCCAGAGAACCCCAAACCCUGAAUAUCAGUGUCGUCUGAGUACUAUAUAAUAGUUAAAACUUUCAACAACGGAUCUCUUGGUUCUG